Long non-coding RNA from Sus scrofa (pig), 500 nucleotides. RefSeq lists it as uncharacterized. The record is from RefSeq and is a predicted model, not a curated record. NCBI's taxonomy places the organism in Eukaryota, Metazoa, Chordata, Mammalia, Artiodactyla, Suidae.
GGUUCUUCUGUUCUCAAAUGAGAGGUCCUCUGCUGGGCGCAGGAUGCUAGGCUCUGUGGAGGAUGAAGAGAAGUUUAAAAUUCGACACGCCCCCUUGUGGCGCUUACAUUAAUAAGGUCAAUCGCUAACAUUAAGUACUAUGUCAGGAAAUGUUCUUUACAUAUAUUAACUUAUUUAGAGUUCCCAAGAACCUUAUGAGGUGGAUCGUUUUUACAGCGUGGGAUAUCAUUUGUUCAGAUGAAGAAUCGAAGCUCCAAAGAUUACGUUAUAAGCCAGUGACAGAGCUGAAAGAAGGUCAGAUCCCUUGAUCACAUGCUCCAAAAUUCAUCAUUCUACACAGCAGGCUGAAAGCUGAAGGUUUGUAACAGGCACAGCACGCUGCAGUUGACAAAGGCCUUCAGAAUCAACAGUUGGCCGGUUUCUGCAGCCGCAUGAAUAGGGCAUUUAGAGACAUCUGCGUGAAGAGCUUCCUGGCACCAUGCUCGAUAGGGGUGCACACC